AACUUAACCGCUUGGGUUGGUUGGUUGGACUCAGAAUUUUAGGUUUUAAAUGGUUGCACGGUUGUAACCUGAAGAUGCCGCGUUGAAAGAACUAAAUAAUGCGGAUAGCGGCGCAGUACGAACGGAACAUGCAUAUUAACACAUACCGGGAUUUUUCAGUCACAGAAUUUCUGGCAGAUCCUUCUUAUUAAAAUGGAUUUAAAUGUA
This is a long non-coding RNA of Amblyraja radiata (thorny skate), 207 nucleotides long. RefSeq lists it as uncharacterized. The record is from RefSeq and is a predicted model, not a curated record. NCBI's taxonomy places the organism in Eukaryota, Metazoa, Chordata, Chondrichthyes, Rajiformes, Rajidae. The transcript has 2 exons.